UACAGAGGGUGCAAGCGUUAAUCGGAAUUACUGGGCGUAAAGCGUGCGUAGACGGUUAUGUAAGUCAGGUGUGAAAGCCCCGAGCUUAACUUGGGAAGUGCUUUUGAUACUGCAGAGCUUGAAUGUGGGAGAGGGUAGUGGAAUUCCAGGUGUAGUGGUGAAAUACGUAGAUAUCUGGAGGAACACCGGUGGCGAAGGCGGCUACCUGGCCCAACAUUGACGCUGAGACCCGAAAGCAUGGGGAUCAAACAGG
Molecule: ribosomal RNA, 253 nt
Filed under: uncultured bacterium
Lineage: Bacteria
Description: partial 16S ribosomal RNA
Rfam family: Bacterial small subunit ribosomal RNA
Source: RNAcentral